RNAcentral lists this ribosomal RNA (450 nucleotides) under uncultured bacterium. Its description in RNAcentral is "partial 16S ribosomal RNA". It matches the Rfam family "Bacterial small subunit ribosomal RNA", at positions 338 to 795 of the family's 1533-position model. The record is from RNAcentral.
CCUACGGGUGGCUGCAGUGGGGAAUUUUGGACAAUGGGCGAAAGCCUGAUCCAGCAAUGCCGCGUGAGUGAAGAAGGCCUUCGGGUUGUAAAGCUCUUUUGUUUGGGAAGAAAUCCCUAAGGAUAAUACCCUUGGGGGAUGACGGUACCAAAAGAAUAAGCACCGGCUAACUACGUGCCAGCAGCCGCGGUAAUACGUAGGGUGCAAGCUGGGAGCGGAAUUACUGGGCGCAAUGUUGUCGCAGGCGUUUGAAAUCCCCGAGCUCAACUUGGGAACUGCACUUGUGACUGCAAGACUAGAGUGUGUCAGAGGGAGGUAGAAUUCCACGUGUAGCAGUGAAAUGCGUAGAUAUGUGGAGGAAUACCAGUGGCGAAGGCGGCCUCCUGGGAUAACACUGACGCUCAUGUACGAAAGCGUGGGGAGCAAACAGGAUUAGAUACCCGAGUAGUC